UGUCAAAGAAAGGACGAUCGAUUAGACAGACAACCAGUCAAAUCAACCUGUUUACAGAUCAAAUAGAACAGCUAGCACGCCAUAGGAUUUUAAUAUUUACAUGACCGUUAUCAUGACUGUACAUUAUAACUCUGUUAACCAGGUAUGAGGAAGAUCAUAAACCUGGGCAUAAAGCCAAAAUCGUUAUCCCGUCAAUCGAUGUUCAAGUGGGACACGCACUGGGUAAAUUGGCAUAUGAUGUAAAGAUUUUGCAAGUUUAUUUUACUUUGUCGAGGACUUUAAACAUUGAAGUUUCGAAAUAACAAUUAAGUAAAUAUCUCAGAUGGGUGCAGGAGGCGGUCGUCCAAUAAACCCUCACACCGGCCAGGUGGGCGGAUACAUUUCACCGGGACCAGGGGGCUACUACACCGGUCAUACGCCAUUCCAAAUCGUGCCAGGCACAGUUGACACCGGCAACGUAUCACAGAAAUGUCCGAAUUGUAAAAAUAUUCCGGUCAAUCAUUGUGGCCAUGCUUACCAAUACCACACGCACUACUGCACUGACGAUGGAUUCAACAUUACGAAUAGCACUACGUUUCAAGGCUAUGGUGCCCCGAACAUGACCGUUACCAGAUACCCAAACGGUAUGGUUUGCCAGUCGGCCUUAAAUAUGGGCCAGCAGUCAAUGUACAUGACCGGUUCUUCAAUGUACAUGACCAAUGCCAACCCACAACCGUCGAAUUACAGUCCUGCGCCGACCUUUGCCCCUCCUCCGGCGUAUUCUAAGGAACCUCCUGGGCCGACCUUUGCACCACCUCCGGCACAUUCUAAGAAACCUCCAGUGCCGACCAUUGAACCAAAUCCGUUUAAUACCAACGACCAUCCUCCUCCAUACCAAGGAUCCAUACCACCAUCAGCCACUUACAAAAUGUAAGAUUGUCGAUGAACACAGACGUUGAUGUGACUCGUCAAGUUUUAGCGGUGAAUGUAACGGGGAGUUAUUUGAAUUGGUACAAUCAUAAUUUACUAGUUAACUCGUUUGUAGUGGAAUUUGACUGUAUUUCAAACGACAUGUCAUGAUGCGGUGAAGUUUUUAUAACAUUUGAUUGUGGUAUUUAUUUACAUGUUGUCUGUUUUAAUUUGACUAACGCUAAUAAUACAACUCUAAAGUUAUAGGUUUGAUUCUGUAAAUAAUAGUAAGUCGUGUUAAAACAACAAAUCAUUAAUUAAACCUUAACCAUUAAUUGCUUUAUACAAUGCAGUGCCAUUAUUAUUUCUGGUUAUCGUUAAUACAAGUACUCAUAGUGUUAUCUCCUUCUAUUACUUCAUUGUUCUUUUUCUCUCAUUUUUCCAUUUGUUCAUGUAAUAACAAAAUACAUUGAAAUGCUUUUGUAGAAAUAACAUGUAUAUAGUGUUAAAAUUAUUAACCGGUGAAAUUAUACUUAACUUUUUUCAUUUCAUUAGUAUAAGACCACGUGAUUGUUGCUUCAAUUUUAUAAAUCAUAUCACCGAUAUGAGUGUGUCUCCGUAUAAUUAAAUAUUAUCCUGGAAAUAAAAUUAUUUUUUCAUA
RNA transcript from Dreissena polymorpha, 1549 nucleotides. It is a transcript of the gene named BAG family molecular chaperone regulator 4-like, with no coding region annotated. The transcript has 2 exons. The record is from RefSeq and is a predicted model, not a curated record. NCBI's taxonomy places the organism in Eukaryota, Metazoa, Mollusca, Bivalvia, Myida, Dreissenidae.